UGCUUGCCCAAUAGUUACCACUGAUGAGCUUCCUUCUUCUCCUCAGGGUCGAACUCAGGUAUGGAAGUAUUUCCUUUCUAGUUUCUUCUUAUAUCCUGCUUUAUCAACAAUUGCUACAAUCCCUGGAUGUCUCUUAGGGCGUUGGUGAAGUUUCGGGCACAACUUUUUCUUCCCCUGUUGGUGAUAGUGGUUCUCCUCCUCAAAUAGGAGUAGAUAUUCUUCCUUUUAAAGCCCCAGAGCUUAGUCAAGCAUAUUUCUUCUUCCCAAAACUUCUCUUUACUUCAAACUACAUUUCUUGCCUUAAUUUGGUCUUCUCUGUUUCUUACAGCAGGCCUUGAGAGAAGCUUCGGGCAAAUCUCCUCCGCGUUUGGUGCGUAAA
RNAcentral lists this long non-coding RNA (379 nucleotides) under Malus domestica (apple). RNAcentral describes it as "long non-coding RNA (MDOM_LNC000946)". The record is from RNAcentral. Lineage: Eukaryota; Viridiplantae; Streptophyta; Magnoliopsida; Rosales; Rosaceae.